UACGUAGGGUGCGAGCGUUGUCCGGAAUUAUUGGGCGUAAAGAGCUUGUAGGCGGUCUGUCGCGUCUGCUGUGAAAAUCCGGGGCUCAACCCCGGACUUGCAGUGGGUACGGGCAGACUAGAGUGUGGUAGGGGAGACUGGAAUUCCUGGUGUAGCGGUGAAAUGCGCAGAUAUCAGGAGGAACACCGAUGGCGAAGGCGGGUCUCUGGGCCGUAACUGACGCUGAGGCGCGACAGCGUGGGGAGCAAACAGG
This 253-nucleotide ribosomal RNA is filed under the name uncultured bacterium. RNAcentral describes it as "partial 16S ribosomal RNA". It matches the Rfam family "Bacterial small subunit ribosomal RNA", at positions 524 to 776 of the family's 1533-position model. The record is from RNAcentral.